This 1167-nucleotide ribosomal RNA is filed under the name Triticum aestivum (bread wheat). Its description in RNAcentral is "partial small subunit ribosomal RNA". The record is from RNAcentral. Lineage: Eukaryota; Viridiplantae; Streptophyta; Magnoliopsida; Poales; Poaceae.
AUGUUUAGCCGUGAUGCGUGCAUGAGCCUGUUUAUUAAUCCGCUCUCCCUCUCUCUCUCCCCCUCUCUCUUUCAUUUUCUUAUUAUUACUUUAUUAUUUUCUCUUUCGACACAAGCGAAGCUAUGUCAGUUGGACACGCGCUCGGAAAUCCUAUCUACACCUCUCGCGCGGGUGACGGGUGUUAUUUGGCCCGACACUCUGCUCUCUCCCUCCAUCCAACCUUAUCUUCUCAGUCGGCUGCCCUCAACCUUGUCUUCCCCGGUCGCCCCCCACGCGUUCUUCUCCACAUACAUGCGCAGAACUCCCACAACGCCCACCCAUCCCCUCCCUCCUUCCCAGCUCUGGAUCCAGAUGGAAUCGAGGCCACAACCGAGCGUCUCCUCAUGGCCUCUUCACGAGCUCCAACUGCCGCCUGGAGCUCAAGCUGCCAGCCGUCCAAGGCCUCGCCAGGAACGGACCCGCGACACCGUGCCUCGUCCUCGCACAUGCCCGGCCGCGCCAUCGAGCCCCCCGCAGGUUGCCUGCCCGUCGCCCUCACCUUCACUCUUCUUCCCCUUUCAAUUCUGCUCUAUCCUCUCUGAAUAUCUCCCCCUCUCUCUCUGUUCAAGUGUAGAGGCAGUGCUCCGCCACCCGAUGCUGUUCUUCGCGUCGCCCCACGCUCCCAAAGCUGGGAACCGGCUCCCCGCCUCCAAGUUCUCGGCAUCGACGUCCCGUGCUGCCUGCACCCUCGCCAAGCCCGACUCGCAGCCGUGGAGCCCGAGCUCGCCAAGGCGCUUCAACUCCGCCGCCGCGCCAUCUUCUUCAGGCGCUCGAGCACGAGCACAAGCUCGCCCGCGCCCCACCUCUCUCUGCCGCUCCGUCCGCCGCCCGUGGUGCCGUGACCCGCCACUGCCGUGCCCUGCAUCGCUCUGUAGCCGCGCCGCCUGGGUCGAUGCGGUCAGCGCUCCCAAGCCGUUGACCCUGCGCCAGGGGACGACCAUUUCCUCCCAUGCGUGCGCGCCCGUGCUCCAGCCCUCCCCUCCCCAUGCUGCCGGCACACUCGCGCCACGGGGCCGUAUCCAGCCUGUGCCUGGACGACGGAAGCCCCCCCACUGUCCGUGCGCUCCGGCCAGCUCCCUGUCGCGCUCGAGACCUCCUCUAGUCUUCCCGCCGAGGCCUUCCCUGUGA